AACUUGCUUCUAUGCGUUACGGCGGACGGGUGAGUACACGUGGGCACCUGCCUGUAAGACUGGGAUAACUUCGGGAAACCGAAGCUAAUACCGGAUAGGAUCUUCUCCUUCAUGGGAGAUGAUUGAAAGAUGGUUUCGGCUAUCACUUACAGAUGGGCCCGCGGUGCAUUAGCUAGUUGGUGAGGUAACGGCUCACCAAGGCAACGAUGCAUAGCCGACCUGAGAGGGUGAUCGGCCACACUGGGACUGAGACACGGCCCAGACUCCUACGGGAGGCAGCAGUAGGGAAUCUUCCGCAAUGGACGAAAGUCUGACGGAGCAACGCCGCGUGAGUGAUGAAGGCUUUCGGGUCGUAAAACUCUGUUGUUAGGGAAGAACAAGUACGAGAGUAACUGCUCGUACCUUGACGGUACCUAACCAGAAAGCCACGGCUAACUACGUGCCAGCAGCCGCGGUAAUACGUAAG
This 466-nucleotide ribosomal RNA is filed under the name Bacillus sp. enrichment culture clone A5n. RNAcentral describes it as "bacterial SSU rRNA". It matches the Rfam family "Bacterial small subunit ribosomal RNA", at positions 77 to 531 of the family's 1533-position model. The record is from RNAcentral. Lineage: Bacteria; Bacillati; Bacillota; Bacilli; Caryophanales; Bacillaceae.